RNAcentral lists this transfer RNA (77 nucleotides) under Brunnivagina elsteri CCALA 953. Its description in RNAcentral is "Calothrix elsteri CCALA 953 tRNA-Ala". It matches the Rfam family "tRNA". Rfam says of the family: Transfer RNA (tRNA) molecules are approximately 80 nucleotides in length. Lineage: Bacteria; Bacillati; Cyanobacteriota; Cyanophyceae; Nostocales; Calotrichaceae. The record is from RNAcentral.
GGGGUCAUAGCUCAACUGGCUAGAGCGUCCGCCUUGCAAGCGGAAGGUUAGGGGUUCAAAUCCCCUUGAUUCCACUA